Molecule: ribosomal RNA, 877 nt
Filed under: Xylaria hypoxylon
Lineage: Eukaryota; Fungi; Ascomycota; Sordariomycetes; Xylariales; Xylariaceae
Description: partial large subunit ribosomal RNA
Rfam family: Eukaryotic large subunit ribosomal RNA
Source: RNAcentral
AGACCACAGGGAUUGCCCUAGUAACGGCGAGUGAAGCGGCAACAGCUCAAAUUUGAAAUCUGGCUUUCGGGUCCGAGUUGUAAUUUGUAGAGGAUGCUUUUGGCGCGGUGCCUUCCGAGUUCCCUGGAACGGGACGCCUUAGAGGGUGAGAGCCCCGUACGGUUGGACACCAAGCCUCUGUAAAGCUCCUUCGACGAGUCGAGUAGUUUGGGAAUGCUGCUCUAAAUGGGAGGUAAAUUUCUUCUAAAGCUAAAUAUUGGCCAGAGACCGAUAGCGCACAAGUAGAGUGAUCGAAAGAUGAAAAGCACUUUGAAAAGAGGGUUAAAUAGCACGUGAAAUUGUUGAAAGGGAAGCGUUUGCGACCAGACCUUUUCUUAGCGGAUCAUCCGGUGUUAUCACCGGUGCACUUCGCUAAGUUUAGGCCAGCAUCGGUUUCUGUAGGGGGAUAAAAGCCUUGGGAACGUAGCUCCUUCGGGAGUGUUAUAGCCCUUUGCAUAAUACCCUUCUGGGGACCGAGGACCGCGCUAUAUGCAAGGAUGCUGGCAUAAUGGUCGUCAACGACCCGUCUUGAAACACGGACCAAGGAGUCGAACAUUUAUGCGAGUGUUUGGGUGUUAAACCCUCACGCGUAAUGAAAGUGAACGGAGGUGAGAGCCCUUACGGGUGCAUCAUCGACCGAUCCUGAUGUCUUCGGAUGGAUUUGAGUAAGAGCAUAACUGUUCGGACCCGAAAGAUGGUGAACUAUGCGUGGAUAGGGUGAAGCCAGAGGAAACUCUGGUGGAGGCUCGCAGCGGUUCUGACGUGCAAAUCGAUCGUCAAAUCUGCGCAUGGGGGCGAAAGACUUAUCGAACCAUCUAGUAGCUGGUUACCGCGAGCU